Long non-coding RNA from Talpa occidentalis (Iberian mole), 2062 nucleotides. RefSeq lists it as uncharacterized. The transcript has 3 exons. NCBI's taxonomy places the organism in Eukaryota, Metazoa, Chordata, Mammalia, Eulipotyphla, Talpidae. The record is from RefSeq and is a predicted model, not a curated record.
GGAGACGCCUGCCUCCUCCCGUGGUCACUGAUCAUACCCGGCGCACCCCAGGGGGGCACCAACCUGCAGGAACCCCCUGGAGCCACACUGCGCAGACGGGCCCCAGGGACACACACCGCAUGCCGCUUUCGGCUCAGUCUCGAGAUGACAAAAUCACAGGAUCCAGGGACAGAUUAGGGGUAGUCGGAGGUGAAGGAGGUGGGAGGGGAUAAAAAGGUUCUUACGGAGACAAAAUAUGCUGGAUCUCGACGGCCACCAACAUCCUGGGAGUGAAGCUGCACCACAGCAUUGCAAGACGCUCGCCCUGGGAAGCGAGAAAGGACCCAGAGGCACCCUGCGCUGUUUCAGUUCUGUGCGAGUCCACAGUGUCUCAAAAUGAAAGGUUUAACAACCACAAUCAACAACAUUUUCUAACGUGCGUGCGUGUAAAUGGGAAACUCAGAAGUCCAGAAUGUAUUUCUCAAGGACAAGGGCGGAGGUGGUCCACAGCCCAAGUUCAAAGACUAAUCUUAUCUCGCUGCAGUCCUUUAUCUGUAGGUGGGCAGACUGAGGACACGCCUGGCUCACCAGGAACACAGCACUGGGGACACCCCAUGGCGGCCAUGCCCUGGGAACAGCAGCCCCUGCCCACAGGCCCCAGCACACACCUGAGCCCACAGGGCUCACGUCCCCACCUGCCAGUGGGGCCUGCACCAGGUGGCGCUGCAAAGGCAGGGCAGGGGUCUUCCUAUACACAAUGGUGCUUGAGAAAUCGUGACGCCACGUCUCCUGCCCACGGGGACCACAGACCUGCCCGCCAGCAGCCCUGUGCUUCGUGGGUAGUCUGGCCUGGGACACCCUCCCCCCCGCAGCAGGUGCACUCUGGGGUCACAAGAAACACUGGGAAGACAAGCUGGCCCCCUGCCCCCCGCGGACCCACAGAUCCCACUGUCCCACGACAGACCCGGUGGGGUCACACACACAGAAACCUGUCGUCCCGCCUGCUGCCCCACCACCCUAUCUGCGCUACGGAGCCUUGCUCGACCUCCAAGCCAAGCCCAACCCUCAUCCUCGGGCCGUAAGUCCUUCCUUUCUUGUCUAAGUUCAGGCAGCCUUUCAAGACCAGAUCCCAUGGAGCUCAGGUCCGGGUGGGUGCAGGAAACUAACACCGCAACAAGGGCAGGCCUGGGGCCGCAGAGAGGAGAGCGGCUGGCGGUAAGUGCUCCGCAGAAACCGCGGCCAGGCAAAGCCAGCCUCCUUGGGGAAGCCUGGGGGAUGCGAGGAAGACGGGACGGAAUGGGGAGACAGACAGCGGGAUGAACUGGGAGACGCACGAGCCACGGGUACCAGCAGGGAUCCAGGAGAACCUUGGCUUUUGCUCCAAGUGAAGGGGGGCGGAGCUUUGAGAGAAAGGCCGACACCUGACAUCGAUGUAAAAAUCUGGUGGUGAGGCGUGGAAGCUGGACUUCUGGUGACCAAUGUAAGGGGCUAUGUACAGAUGUGGACUUCCAAGGAUGUGCCACCUGGAACCUACACAAGGUUUACUUCAAUUUGCAGAAGCAUCAUUCCAGCUGCAUUACUGAAAACUGAGAUCGACGAGGCCAUGAUUUUUAGAUGACAUCAAAAGCUCAAGCAACAAAAGCAAAAACCAACAGCUGGGAUGACACUGAACUAUAAAGCUCCUUGCUGCAUAGCAAGAGGGAAUGGGAACCCACAGAAUGGGAGAAACGGGGCAAAUCAUGCAUCUGGCAAGGGCUUAAAAUUCAAAUCAUGUAAGGACCUCCUCCAGCUCAACGAGAAAGCAGUCCCAGCACGAAACGGGCGGAGAAGCAGACACACAGGUGCCAACAGGUGCGACUUCCUAACACUGCGACUGACCUCACCUGAAAUCCUCCGCAUUUCCCAUCAGUGGGUCACUGCCUGGUGCUGCACGUCGAGCUCCAUCUCCCUGGCCAGCAGAGGCUCCAGGCUAUGAGACGUGACCCCGCCUCCGUCCACCCUCAGGUACCCAGUAGGGAACCUGCCACCUGAUGUGAUGGUUGCUGAAAGAAGGGACAGUGAGUUUUUCUGAAACAUGCAUCUU